GACGAACGCUGGCGGCGUGCUUAACACAUGCAAGUCGAACGGAAAGGCCCUGCUUUUGUGGGGUGCUCGAGUGGCGAACGGGGGAGUAACACGUGAGUAACCUGCCCUUGACUUUGGGAUAACUUCAGGAAACUGGGGCUAAUAACGGAUAGGAGCUCCUGCUGCAUGGUGGGGGGUGGAAAGGUUCGGCGGUUGGGGAUGGACUCGCGGCGUAUCAGCCUGUUGGUGGGGUAGUGGCUUACCAAGGCUUUGACGGGUAGCCCGCCUGAGAGGGUGACCGGCGACAUUGGGACUGAGGUACGGACCAGAAUCGUACGGGAGGCAGAAGUGGGGAAUAUUGCGCAAUGGGCGGGAGCCUGAUGCAGCAACGCCGCGUGCGGGAUGAUGGCUUUCGGGUUGUAAACCGCUUUCGCCUGUGACGAAGCGUGAGUGACGGUAAUGGGUAAAGAAGCAACGGCUAACUACGUG
RNAcentral lists this ribosomal RNA (468 nucleotides) under uncultured bacterium. RNAcentral's name for it is "partial 16S ribosomal RNA". It matches the Rfam family "Bacterial small subunit ribosomal RNA", at positions 28 to 507 of the family's 1533-position model. The record is from RNAcentral.